GAUUUCUGGCUUGAAACACUUAGUCGGCCACGGUUUCCGUGUGUUAGUACUUUGUGUUCUGGCCAUCCUUCCAAUCGCUAUUCACCUUUCUUCAUUGAUGGGUGAGUGGUAUUGGAUCUUUUACUUUGAAAAAAUUAGAGUGUUUCAAGCAGGCUUUAUGCUAUGAAUACAUUAGCAUGGAAUAAUAAUUUAGGACUUCGGUUCUAUUUUGUUGGUUUCUAGGACUGAAGUAAUGAUUGAUAGGGAUAGUUGGGGGUGCUAGUAUUCAGCGGCCAGAGGUGAAAUUCUCGGAUUCGCUGAAGACUAACUUAUGCGAAAGCAUUCACCAAGGAUGUCUUCUUUAAUCAAGAACGAAAGUUGGGGGAUCGAAGACGAUCAGAUACCGUCGUAGUCUCAACCAUAAACUAUGCCGACUAGGGAUGAGUGAACGUUGCAUUUUCGACUUCAUUCGCACCUUAUGAGAAAUCAAAGUCUUUGGGUUCCGGGGGGAGUAUGGUCGCAAGGCUGAAACUUAAAGG
This 518-nucleotide ribosomal RNA is filed under the name uncultured eukaryote. RNAcentral's name for it is "SSU rRNA". It matches the Rfam family "Eukaryotic small subunit ribosomal RNA", at positions 637 to 1150 of the family's 1831-position model. The record is from RNAcentral.